This 253-nucleotide ribosomal RNA is filed under the name uncultured bacterium. RNAcentral describes it as "partial 16S ribosomal RNA". It matches the Rfam family "Bacterial small subunit ribosomal RNA", at positions 524 to 776 of the family's 1533-position model. The record is from RNAcentral.
UACGUAGGGUCCGAGCGUUGUCCGGAAUUACUGGGCGUAAAGAGCUCGUAGGUGGUUUGUCGCGUUGUUCGUGAAAACUCAAAGCUUAACUGUGGGCGUGCGGGCGAUACGGGCAGACUGGAGUACUGCAGGGGAGACUGGAAUUCCUGGUGUAGCGGUGGAAUGCGCAGAUAUCAGGAGGAACACCGGUGGCGAAGGCGGGUCUCUGGGCAGUAACUGACGCUGAGGAGCGAAAGCGUGGGGAGCGAACAGG